UCGACCUCGAGAACAAGAAAAAUUUAAAACCCUAGCCGCCAAACCUUCUCCUCCCCACUCCAUCCUCCCCCACGCCGCCGCACCCUCUCCUCACACGCCUCAGCGCGCUCCCCUCCUCCUUGUGCCGCCGGCCUCCUUCCUUCUCCCCGCGCUAGAGCAGAGAUGCGCCUUCGUAUGGGUAGAAUCAGCAGCAGCAGUACCGUCUCCAUGGACGCGGCAGCGUGACGGCUCCCAGGCACGGAUCCCCUCCUCCGCCUCCAUCCUCCACCUCUUCGGUCGCCCUGUUCCAAUGUCCGGAGCAGCAGCAGCUGAUUUCCAUCUUCCAGUUCAUGUUCAUGGCCUUGUUGUGGUUGCACGGUGGUCCGUGGGGAACAGCAGCAAAUACCUUUGCUACAACCGAGGUCUUGACAGACCAGUCAGGGAGAGAUAGGUUCGUUUUGCAGGGGUUGUUAUGCUCUGUCCCCCGUGGUAAGUUUGCUAGGCAGCGGCUCACUCCUCGCUUGUUUUUUAGUUUUGACCAUGAUAUCAAAAUUACAUCUGGUCGAUGGUGUAAGUUUAGGCAGGUACCAUCUGCAUUUUGUGAAGAUUGCCAUCAUCUAAUUUUAUUGCGGCAUGAUGCAUAUGUAAUAAGGAAUUUGGUGUUUGAGAAGCAUCACCGGAAGUUGGUAUGCUAAUAUCUCAAUUGGCAAGAUAAAAGGACCACUACUUCUUACCUUCCAGUCAUUUUAAUAUUAUAGGAAUGCAAGUGUGUACUAAGUAGAAAAGAUGGUUGAAUUUAGUGCCCCUGCAUUUACAUGACUAGGUGUUAUCAGUUUUUGUUUCCUUUGAUGGCUCUGAGUACAAAUUGGAGCUUGUUUGGUACAAAAUGUUGCCAAGAUUAGUUUAGGAUCAGAAUUGUUGUCAUGUUGUCCAGAUAUUGCUCUAAGAGGUUCCUAGAAUUAGUUUAGGAUCAGAGUUAUUGUCAUGUUGUGUAGAUAUUGCUCUAAAGAUUUCGGACGUACUUUUCAGGUUGCUUGGUUAUAAUUUUUGCCCCCCAAAGGAAAGCUUUGGCCAGCUUCUUGCUAGAAUAUUAUCAUAAGGCUUGAUUAAUUUAGAACAUACUUGUGUCUUUUCACUCUUAUUUUAUUUUAAUAGUUAUCUGACAUGUUGUAGAAGGGGAGCCUUGGCGCAGUGGUAAAGCUGCUGCCUUGUGACCAUGAGGUCAUGGGUUCAAGUCCUGGAAAUAGCCUCUUACAGAAAUGUAGGGAAAGGCUGCGUACUAUAGACCCAAAGUGGUCGGACCCUUCCCUGGACCCUGCGCAAGCGGGAGCUACAUGCACCAGGUUGCCCUUUUUUAGUUAUCUGACAUGUUGUAAACUAUUUCUUUUAUUUUUCAGGAAGAAAUAGAAGUUGAGGGGAAGCAAUUGCAUGCUGGAAAAUCAGUUGGUGUUGUCAAUGUUGGUUUGAAGAAGAAAAGGACCGGCAAAUUGAUAGCUCAGGCACGUCAUACAAAGUACUUGUAUAUAGCAGAUUGCAAGGAUUCCCUUAUGUUGUAAGAUAAAAACCUGGUUAUAUGUUGCAUCUCAAAAUCAAGAUGUUGAUUCAAGAAGAGAAAGGAGUUGUCAGUGUGCCGUGGUGAGCGUCCUUGUCCUGGAGCAUACCGUUUAUCAGUAUAAAGUAACGGGUAACAAUGUUUUCUCGUACAUAUGAUUCUGAAGUAAUAGAGAGCAGGAAGUGGUAGGCUUAAUUUCAGUUAGAUAAAUAGGUGUACUGCGGCAGCAUAUAUUUAAGCAAUCCCUUGUAUUUGUCUUUCCUGGUUCAUGCGUUAUACAUCGUGUAUAUAUGCCAGCCAGGGAGGUGGAUGGGCUCGUCUCCACUGCGUCGUGAGCGCCGCCGCCGCCUCUGCAACCACCUUGCUCUGCAUAGUAGCAUGUGUGAGGAAUCGGGGACAAAGCGACCACAAGCAGAUGACGUCGGCGGCAACGGCAAUACGCAUGGUGCGCGAAGCCUGGUAAGAUGGGCGCGGCCUCCCCACAGGCGUUUCAGGAUGGCGUGCCCGGCGGCUCGGAACACGCGCGCCCGGCGCACAUGAGGUGUGUCCUGGAGCAGCACGCCGGCGGCAACGUGCACCGUGAGGUCCCGGAGCAGCCCAACCAGUACAGGAGGAACCCUGCCAUUCCAUCCUCACCUCUACUCAUAGACCAACAACAAAACUAUUGGUAAUGAAAGAUUUAAGUGCAGGUAUACUCAAAUCAAGGUAUUUUAUCUAAUUGGUUGGAUAACUACUUUUCAGUUCUAUGCCUUUAAGUAAAACUUAAAACUAAGCAUUUAAUUAUUGUUCUAUUGUCUUAUUGAUUUCACCAGCUUUAUGCCAGCCGAUUAGUUCUGAGGGAUUCCACAUAUGUGUGUAGGUUAUGUGGGAGCCUUUUAUAGAGCCCUCAUGUUUUCAUUUAAAUAUACUUCGAAAAUGUAGAUUGACAAUAAAGGUACGAGGUCCAUUGCUAAUGAAUAAGUAGUCUUGCUGAAGGUGAUAAAUCUCCAAACUGAUGGAUAAGCCGAAGGUGAUAUUCAAGAGAUCCAUUUCUAAUGAAUAAGUAGUCUUGCUGAAGUUGAUAAAUAUCCAAACUGAUGGAUAGGCCGAAGGUGAUAUUCAACCUUUUUUAUACUGUAGUCGUGCUGAAGUGAAAGCAUCUGUGGAUGCAUGUAUACAUGCUUUUCAAUCUUUCUUUGUUGUCAAACUGUGGCAUGUAAAGUAUGGGAGGACCAAGUGAUUAUAAACUGUGUCAAACCCAUGUCUUUACAUGAUUUUUCUAACAUGGAAGUAGUCACUUCCUGGAUACCGGAGUAUGUACAUAGAGCUGGAACGCUUAUCACCUCAUGAUUUGCUAGAGUAAAAUCAAGCAUGAGACAUGUGUUAGGAUGAUGGAUUUCCUUAUUAAAAAUAAGGAUGUAAUAUAAGAGCACUUGGAAUGCAGUAGACAUAUGUUUA
Long non-coding RNA from Triticum dicoccoides, 2968 nucleotides. RefSeq lists it as uncharacterized. The transcript is spliced from 5 exons. Lineage: Eukaryota; Viridiplantae; Streptophyta; Magnoliopsida; Poales; Poaceae. The record is from RefSeq and is a predicted model, not a curated record.